GAUGAGAACGUAGCGAAAUGCGAUAACUAAUGUGAAUUGCAGAAUUCAGUGAAUCAUCGAGUCUUUGAACGCACAUUGCGCCCCCUGGUAUUCCGGGGGGCAUGCCUGUCCGAGCGUCAUUGCUGCCCUCAAGCACGGCUUGUGUGUUGGGCUCCGUCCUCCCGGGGACGGGCCCGAAAGGCAGCGGCGGCACCGAGUCCGGUCCUCGAGCGUAUGGGGCUUUGUCACCCGCUCUGUAGGCCCGGCCGGCGCCAGCCGACAACCCAUCAUCCUUUUCAGGUUGACCUCGGAUCAGGUAGGGAUACCCGCUGAACUUAAGCAUAUCAAUAAGCGGAGGA
This 338-nucleotide unclassified non-coding RNA is filed under the name soil metagenome. RNAcentral describes it as "partial contains 5.8S ribosomal RNA, internal transcribed spacer 2, and large subunit ribosomal RNA". The stretch from base 5 to 119 matches the Rfam family "5.8S ribosomal RNA", at positions 40 to 154 of the family's 154-position model. The record is from RNAcentral.